CCUACGGGAGGCAGCAGUAAGGAGUAUUGGUCAAUGGAGGCAACUCUGAACCAGCCAUGCCGCGUGCAGGAAGAAGGCCCUAUGGGUCGUAAACUGCUUUUAGUACCAGAGAAAACCCGAGUACGUGUACUCGGUUGAUAGUAUGGUAAGAAUAAGCAUCGGCUAACUUCGUGCCAGCAGCCGCGGUAAGACGAAGGAUGCAAGCGUUAUCCGGAUUCAUUGGGUUUAAAGGGUGCGUAGGCGGACUGAUAAGUCAGUGGUGAAAUCUCUCGGCUUAACCGAGAAACUGCCAUUGAUACUGUUAGUCUAGAGUAUAGAUGACGUUGGCGGAAUAUGACAUGUAGUGGUGAAAUACUUAGAUAUGUCAUAGAACACCGAUUGCGAAGGCAGCUAACGAAACUAUAACUGACGCUGAGGCACGAAAGUGCGGGGAUCAAACAGGAUUAGAUACCCUGGUAGUCCGCACCGUAAACGAUGAUUACUCGUUGUUGGCAAUAUGACCGUCAGCGACCAAGCGAAAGCGAUAAGUAAUCCACCUGGGGAGUACGCCGGCAACGGUGAAACGUACGAAUGAUUGACGGNGAGAGAGNGACGACGACGACGACGGAGGGAGGAG
Molecule: ribosomal RNA, 616 nt
Filed under: uncultured bacterium
Lineage: Bacteria
Description: bacterial SSU rRNA
Rfam family: Bacterial small subunit ribosomal RNA
Source: RNAcentral